This 485-nucleotide ribosomal RNA is filed under the name uncultured bacterium. RNAcentral describes it as "partial 16S ribosomal RNA". It matches the Rfam family "Bacterial small subunit ribosomal RNA", at positions 28 to 523 of the family's 1533-position model. The record is from RNAcentral.
GAUGAACGCUAGCGGCAGGCCUAAUACAUGCAAGUCGAACGAAGCAGCAAUGCUUAGUGGCGCACGGGUGCGUAACGCGUAUGUAACCUACCUUUUACUGGGGGAUAACUUCUCGAAAGAGAAGCUAAUACCGCAUAAUGCAUUAAGGUCACCUGGUCUAAAUGUUAAAGAUUUAUUGGUAAAAGAUGGGCAUGCGUCCAAUUAGCUAGUUGGUAGUGUAACGGACUACCAAGGCUACGAUUGGUAGGGGGUCUGAGAGGAUGGUCCCCCACACUGGUACUGAGAUAAGGACCAGACUCCUACGGGAGGCAGCAGUAGGGAAUAUUGGGCAAUGGACGAAAGUCUGACCCAGCCAUGCCGCGUGCAGGAUGAAGGCCCUCUGGGUUGUAAACUGCUUUUGACAGGGAAGAAAUACACCAUGCGUGGUGAGCUGACGGUACCUGUAGAAUAAGCACCGGCUAACUCCGUGCCAGCAGCCGCCGUAA